Molecule: transfer RNA, 72 nt
Filed under: Anaerolineales bacterium
Lineage: Bacteria; Bacillati; Chloroflexota; Anaerolineae; Anaerolineales
Description: tRNA-Gly
Rfam family: tRNA
About the family: Transfer RNA (tRNA) molecules are approximately 80 nucleotides in length. Their secondary structure includes four short double-helical elements and three loops (D, anti-codon, and T loops).
Source: RNAcentral
GCGGGUGUAGCCAAGUGGUAAGGCACUGGCUUCCCAAGCCAGCAUUCACGGGUUCGAAUCCCGUCACCCGCU